UACGUAGGGGGCUAGCGUUAUUCGGAAUUAUUGGGCGUAAAGGGCGCGUAGGCGGCCAUGCGUGUCUUCCGUGAAAUCCCUCGGCUUAACUGAGGACGUGCGGAAGAAACUGCAAGGCUUGAGUCCGGGAGAGGGGGGUGGAAUUCCCAGUGUAGCGGUGAAAUGCGUAGAUAUUGGGAGGAACACCGGUGGCGAAGGCGGCAUCCUGGACCAAUACUGACGCUGAGGAGCGAAAGCCAGGGGAGCAAACGGG
RNAcentral lists this ribosomal RNA (253 nucleotides) under uncultured bacterium. RNAcentral's name for it is "partial 16S ribosomal RNA". It matches the Rfam family "Bacterial small subunit ribosomal RNA", at positions 524 to 776 of the family's 1533-position model. The record is from RNAcentral.